CCUACGGGGGGCAGCAGUGGGGAAUAUUGCACAAUGGGGGAAACCCUGAUGCAGCGACGCCGCGUGAGUGAAGAAGUAUUUCGGUACGUAAAGCUCUAUCAGCAGGGAAGAAAAUGACGGUACCUGACUAAGAAGCCCCGGCUAACUACGUGCCAGCAGCCGCGGUAAUACGUAGGGGGCAAGCGUUAUCCGGAUUUACUGGGUGGAAAGGGAGCGGGGACGGCAGCGCAAGGCUGGAGUGAAAUCCCAUGGAUUAACCAUGGAACUGCUUUGGAAACUGUGCAGCUAGCGUGCAGGAGAGGUAAGCGGAAUUCCUAGUGUAGCGGUGAAAUGCGUAGAUAUUAGGAGGAACACCAGUGGCGAAGGCGGCUUACUGGACUGUAACUGACGUUGAGGCUCGAAAGCGUGGGGAGCAAACAGGAUUAGAUACCCUUGUAGUC
This 440-nucleotide ribosomal RNA is filed under the name uncultured bacterium. RNAcentral describes it as "partial 16S ribosomal RNA". It matches the Rfam family "Bacterial small subunit ribosomal RNA", at positions 338 to 795 of the family's 1533-position model. The record is from RNAcentral.